RNAcentral lists this ribosomal RNA (253 nucleotides) under uncultured bacterium. Its description in RNAcentral is "partial 16S ribosomal RNA". It matches the Rfam family "Bacterial small subunit ribosomal RNA", at positions 524 to 776 of the family's 1533-position model. The record is from RNAcentral.
UACGAAGGUGGCAAGCGUUACUCGGAAUUACUAGGCGUAAAGGGCAGGUAGGUGGUCUGAUAAGUCUGUUGUGAAAGCUCCCGGCCCAACUGGGAGAGGUCAACAGAAACUAUCAGGCUUGAGUAUGGGAGAGGGUACUGGAAUUCCUGGUGUAGCGGUGAAAUGCGCAGAGAUCAGGAGGAACACCGAUGGCGAAAGCAGGUACCUGGACCAUUACUGACACUCAGCUGCGAAAGCUAGGGGAGCAAACAGG